This 436-nucleotide ribosomal RNA is filed under the name Salmonella enterica subsp. enterica serovar Virchow. RNAcentral's name for it is "bacterial SSU rRNA". It matches the Rfam family "Bacterial small subunit ribosomal RNA", at positions 220 to 648 of the family's 1533-position model. The record is from RNAcentral. Lineage: Bacteria; Pseudomonadati; Pseudomonadota; Gammaproteobacteria; Enterobacterales; Enterobacteriaceae.
AUCAGAUGUGCCCAGAUGGGAUUAGCUAGUUGGUGAGGUAACGGCUCACCAAGGCGACGAUCCCUAGCUGGUCUGAGAGGAUGACCAGCCACACUGGAACUGAGACACGGUCCAGACUCCUACGGGAGGCAGCAGUGGGGAAUAUUGCACAAUGGGCGCAAGCCUGAUGCAGCCAUGCCGCGUGUAUGAAGAAGGCCUUCGGGUUGUAAAGUACUUUCAGCGGGGAGGAAGGUGUUGUGGUUAAUAACCGCAGCAAUUGACGUUACCCGCAGAAGAAGCACCGGCUAACUCCGUGCCAGCAGCCGCGGUAAUACGGAGGGUGCAAGCGUUAAUCGGAAUUACUGGGCGUAAAGCGCACGCAGGCGGUCUGUCAAGUCGGAUGUGAAAUCCCCGGGCUCAACCUGGGAACUGCAUUCGAAACUGGCAGGCUUGAGUC